Molecule: unclassified non-coding RNA, 370 nt
Filed under: Athalia rosae (coleseed sawfly)
Lineage: Eukaryota; Metazoa; Arthropoda; Insecta; Hymenoptera; Athaliidae
Description: misc RNA ENSAEAG00005003963.1
Source: RNAcentral
AGAAAACAGUAUUUUUACUGCUUCAUAUUUGUUCAGAUUUAUCAAUUGAUGUACAUACCCCUUUUUAUCUCUUGCCAGAUAUCAAAAUCAGUGUUGCGAUAUAUAUCAGGGUCUAACGCUUUCGCAAUUCUAUAUGGAAACGGUGUGAGGUCUUUGGUUGAAGCUACAGGUCCUUCAUCCUCACCAGUUUUUUCCAAUUUGUUAAACAGUUCCAUGGAAGAAUUUAUCAUGGGAAACAUUGCCAGAACGAUCAUGCAGCAUUUUAAACACUGCCUUUUCAACAUCUACCAUUCCAAAUACAUCUUUGUAAAGUGUUUGAUACACAAUGGCUGCAACGAAAUAUACAAAUGAGAACUAGAAAAUACAAAUC